UUCAAUUGAAAAGGGAUCCCUGGCAAGAAGAACACUGCACAAGCUGGAGAAGGAACAGCAAAAGCACUAUGUGUUGAACUGUAUACACCAUUCCCAGAAGCGAGCUGUAACUCGCCAAGUCUGGUUCCAAGGAGAAGGUGCAACCUCUAAGAUCUGUCAUCUGAGACAACAAAAAAGAAGCAUGUGCUUGCUUUGGAGAGGCUGCCCUCUGAUGCUGGCAGAAGCUCUCUUCUCUGGAAAAAAGGCUACAUAGUCAGAGAGGCAGUAUGGAAUUGUGUGUUACACCACUACAUAACAUCAGUGCAACUGUUGUGUUUUAAGCAAGAAUCAGGAUGAGGAAUUUUAAGCCUGUUACCACCUCGUAAUAUCUCCUGCAGACCAGAGGCCAUAGGAUAUUAUCCAGCAAUCUGAAAAGGGAAGAAAGACCACCUAAGGCUAUUGAAUCUCAAUAAUUCACAUUCAAGUUCAGCUGCCAUUUCAGAAAAAGAAAUAAUCAUGCCAACCAUAAUUUAAAGACCAGGGGGAAAGGUAAUUAUAAGAAUACCUUCUUUUAGACAGGUGCACAUGGAAUAUCUGCUUUCAAAACUGAUAGCACCUUGCCAAGAAAAGGCCUGAAAGAAAGAAAAGGAAGACAGUAAGAAAGCUUGGAGGUCUCACACCACAUUGCAAAGCAGAGGGGAACAAUACCCUCAGGAAGAAGCAAGUUAUAUGCAGAAGUAUUUAAUGUACAGACUAGAGGUCACAACUGUACUGAGUUCAAACUGAAUUACCAGACUACCACUCAAAUCUGAGAGAAGCUGAGGGAAAAACAAAGGCCAAAACCCCUCAGUAGCCGAGGCCCGAACCUCUUUCCACCAAUCCAGAGGAGGUGAAUGUACAUCUGAACUUCUGCAAGAAAACAGAGCCAGCUUACUCCUUUCCAUUUUCUGUAGCUCAGGAACCCUCCUCUCUCUUCCCUACUUUUCUCUCUUCUUUCUGCCUCAUGGAGAGGAAGAAUCCCACCUCUAACACAUUUUUGGAAAUAAAAAAAAAACCUUGUGAAGACUGGAUACUUGA
This 1056-nucleotide long non-coding RNA is filed under the name Struthio camelus australis. RNAcentral's name for it is "lncRNA (ENSSCUG00000004322.1)". The record is from RNAcentral. Lineage: Eukaryota; Metazoa; Chordata; Aves; Struthioniformes; Struthionidae.